UUAAAAUACAAACACAAUAUAAGUUGUUAUCGGUGCUCGGAUAAGUUUGACCGAAAAGCCGUCCAUGUGGAUACGUGAAGGAGGCGUCAGCCAUCAGUUUCUAAAUGGACUACAUAGCACAAGUCGUCCCUUCCUCCAUGUCCAUCGCUCCGGGAGACGUGUCUACAACAACCCCUGGCCUCGGGAGACCAUGGAUGUCCUCCAUAAUGUGGAACCUCAACCCCCAUGUUCACGUUUUGAGGCUCACAUGAGGGCGUGUCCCGGCCUGAUCAGACCGCCGUACUUCCCACGCACACACCGUCUACCAAGACCUCCGAUGAAGAUCCUCCGUGUGCCAAAACUGCCAAGACAGCAAGAAACUCGGAGAAAGCAGAACUCCCUACAGCACUUCUCUGUGAUGCUUCCCAGUGUACCAGCAUCUCCACAUCCAAGCGUGGCCUCUAGAGACCCCCUGCGCUCUCCAACACCGUCUGUCCACUCGGGGACAAACCCAGACAAGUUCCAGUCUUUCCAUGUUCCCUCUCCAAGCUCAGAACACACUACAAUAAAGCAGGAAGAUGUAGUAAGUCA
Ictalurus punctatus (channel catfish) is the source of this 570-nucleotide long non-coding RNA. The record is from Ensembl. Lineage: Eukaryota; Metazoa; Chordata; Actinopteri; Siluriformes; Ictaluridae.